CAGCAAAACAUUUAUUAAGGUCAGGAUGCAUGAAGAGACUCUUCUUCACAGAAAGAUAACUCAACAGCCAAUGAAUUUAUAGAAUUUACAGCACCACCACAUUUCAGCAAAAUGCAACUGAGGACAUCAGACACAUUCUAGUGAUUUGUUUUUAAAAAUCCGUUAAAUUCUGUCUUACCUCUGCAAUAAAGUAUCAUAAAUGCAGUUAAAGAAGUUAGUAGGAAAACGUGUGAUCUUCCUUCCCCCUCUCUGCCCAUCCAUCUUCCAGGAAACCACAGGGGGUUGCUGACCAGACUUGGCACGAGGCUUCGAGGCUGCUGCUUUUCCCCCUACAUCAUAACCGAUUUCAAAUGGUGCUAGACAAAAACAGACUCUGAACACCAGGAGAAAUCGGUCAGCCUGUGUAAGAGAUGGGUCCAGUGGUGCUCCUGGGGGGCCGCACUUGACAGUGCAGGUGGCAAGUCUGAUUUCAGCUGGGCUGCAACGGCAGCUCAAUGUUCCAGGGCAUCUAGGAGCAGGCUGACAGUUCUGAUGUGGAUGAAACAGUCCUGCAGGUACACAGCCCUCUCCCCCUCCCUAGUACAAUCAAGUACUCAAUCCAGCAUUUCCCCAUCGCUGUGCUCAAAGGCCCUACCAACAGGUUACUACUGGUGGCUGCUGCCAUCUGUCAACAGAAAAGAGUAUCGCAACCUCUGCCCCUGCUCCAACCACUGGAUGUCUUUCAAAUACAAACCCCUCCCUGCACUGUCACCCCUCCACACUCAACAGUGUAUUCUGCUUUUCAAGUUCUUCCUUUCUUGAACCAGCUCAGGUGGCAGGAGGAGGGGAGCCAGUCCCACAAGCAGCAGCUCCUCUGCGGUUGGCCCUUUGCUGUGCUGCAAUUCUUACUCCUAAAACACUGAUUUCAAAUGGUGCUAGAUACAAAGAUGGAAAAAUCUAAGCCACCAUGUGAAACCAGCUUCCAGAAGAAGAGGAUCUCACUGAAGAAAGGAGAUGCGAUCGGAAGACCCAGCCUCUGCCCUGAGGAGAAAUGUCUUCUUGCAGUUCUACUUGUGACGUGAUAACAUAACGAUCCGUUAGAAAGGCAAAGAGGAGAGUUACACAGUGAUGCUCAAGGAAAAGGGAAGUCACGGCUGAUGCUUCACAUAGACAAUAGCAAUACAAAACUCAUGAAUCCUAGUUAAUUCUGUUUAAUGCCACCACCAGUCCCUACAAACUAUUAUAUAUAUGAUGGUGAAAUAAAAUGGCCAAAGCUGAAUUAAAAUGUGUGAAUAUUUACAUUAGUGUUGCCUACUUUGUAAAAUAGUUCACAAAUGCAAAGCGUUUUCCGAUUUUACUCACUUCAUCAGAAACCAGCACCCUGUCUGCCUAUGAGGCUCCAGCCACUCCACAAAGGUGAGUUUCACCUGGCCAGAGCAACUCUUCCAUGUGCCCAUUUCAGGAAGAGCAUGGGCUCCUCCUUCCAGCCAUGUGAGUGUCAGAACACUGGCAAUCUUAUUUCACCUCUGGUGUGACGCAAAAAUCCGGUGUCCUAAAAUUGUACUAAGUAGAUCAUCCUCUACCGCAAGAACUGAGUUUUGUUUUCAAAAUUUCCUAAAAAUAGGAUUUGCAAACUGUGCUUAAGUUUGAUUUCCCAUCUCUUUUGGUUGUUUGAAGCUAAGGAAACAUGGCUGUCUGUCCUCUGAUACCACAACCAAGACAAACAAGAGCCACACAGUAGAGUCUGUAUCUCUCACGUUUCCUACCAAUUCCUUAGGCCUCCAGAUACAGGCUUAUAUUUUUCAUGGCUCCUGGAAGUGACAGCAUGUGCUGUCUAGGGAAGAGAAGGAAAUAAACUCUGAACACCAAGUUGUGCUCUUUAAUUCUCACAAGAGUCCUGUGAGGCGGGUAUCAUUCCCAAUUUUUGCAGAAGAAACUGAUCCUUAACAUGGUUCAAAACCUUGUCCAGAGUCUCAGGACUAAUGAAUGGGGAAGAUCUUAGAUCUAACUCCAAAGUCUGUGUUCCUGCCCCUCUGCCCACUGCCACCUGCUCCACAGCUGUACUCUCAUCUCUGUCUGUUCUUGAACUUCACUAAGAGCAAGGCUGCUGGGGGCGGGGGCAUCCUAGGCAAUAUUUCUGCUUGGACGUGGGAUGUUACUCACUGCACACACAUUAAACUGGGGCGGAGAUGAGAGCAUGACUGCAAUUCCAAGGGGCCGGGUGGUUUGGGGUGACUUGUUUUGUUGUCCUGCACCUCUGGUGGCUUGCGGUCUCCAUAGCGUGGCUGUGGGAGUGGGGAAGACGCUGAGAUGAACCACCCCGCAAGGCCUGUGCUGGACUCCUCAGUGAUUCUGACACUGGCCCCAGGCGCGGGAGCCUGUGGGGCUUUGCAAGGCCUCAGCCACAGGUGGGAGAGCUGAGGGUCAGUUCUGCCCGCAGGGGCUGUGAGUGAGGACACCUGCAGCCACCAGCUGGGCCCUGUUAACCAGGUAACUGCUAGGGUUUUAAGGUGAGGAGUGAGUGUUAAAUGUCAUUACUGUGGGGUUCGAAUCCUAUAAAACAAAGGGGUUCAAGGAGAUCUACAUUUGGUAAUUCUGAGCUUUUCUGCUUCUUAUUUCAGUCAAACCCUUCUUCCUUAGCAACUUCCAACUGCCAGUAUCCACAAAACCCUUUCCUAAGGUGUCACGCAGGUCUCCUUCAGUCACGCAGACAGCAUCCCUCCUCCCACCAGAAGGCUCCUGCACACACUGGUCCCUCUUUCUGGAACACCCCCCAUCCACUCUCCCAUAACUGUGACCCUCCCACUCCCACCCCAAGUAACCCAGGUCGUCGGAAGUCCUCCCUGAGCUCUCAGCUCAGCACCCCCUUCCUCAGGAGAGCUUGCCCCGGGCUAGCCCGGCUUCCGGUUGGUGGCCCUCUCACACCCUCAAGUUCUUUUCCUUCAGAACACACUUAUGCCAUUUGGUCAUCCAGGUGAUUAGUUAAUGUCUUGCCUGUGACCCAGGAAGCCUCAGCCCAGAGCUGAGAGGGGCUGCACAGGGCAGAGGAGCAACUGUCACUGAGAGAACUAAGGGACUCGAACCAGCAUGCGGGCUCCCAGCUCCUGAGUUGUAAAAUACUCUUAGCUCUCUGGAAAAAGAGAUAAGAAAUCAUUAACAAUGCAUCGCUGUCAAUACUCUAAAAGAAGAGGAGGAAGAAAGUAAUCUUAGUACCAAAACCUUCUGCCCUUUCAAUCCCACUGGAUAAAAGGUUCUGUUCAGAUCUCAGCCCUCCCAACAGAACCAGGCUUCUCUCUCCAAGUCAGCUGGGCAAUGACUCACUUACCUGAAACAGGCUGGUGUUUUUGUUCCCGAGUUGGAUGUAGCUGGGUGUUUUGAUGGGGGCUGGGCAGGGCCUGCUCUCCCCAGCACCGAGCCCAAGGCACCCAGAUGGGUAAGAAGGCAGCCUGGGAAAGCCCCAGGCUACUGAGGGUUCACUGUCAAAGGCAGGUGGUGCGAUCCUCCCACCCUGACCUAAUGGCCCCAUGCAAACAGGCCAGUGGAAAAGGGCUUGGUAGGUUGCUGGGAAGGAAAACCACCCACCCAGAGGGGUGGGCAUGUCAGCCCUGGGAGGUGCCACCAUGCAGGAAGAGGGCUUGGGGAGCCCCACUGCAGCCCCGGUCCAUCUCUGGGCCCACAUCUGAUCUGGAGGUUUUCCUACCUGCUCAUGCCUAGGACAUUCCUCUGCCUGGGCAGGGACCUUACGGUGGAGGAAAGGUCACCACGGAGUGAAUCAGAAUACAGGGGCUUUAAUUCCCGCUCAGCCAAGACUCUCAGAACAGCGGCCUGCACCUCCGGGGAAUGGCCUCGGAGUGUUCACCUGAACAGAAAGGGGGCUGGCAGACUGGUCACUGCAUGCUCAAAUAUCGGGCCGGAAACUUAAGACAGAGAAGCAGUGACAGCAUGCAGCAGAAAGAAGUACAGUGACCUGGAGAGGCUGUGUUUUGUCUAAAGGCAUGCAAAAUCAGAUACAUUAACAAAAACCAAAACAACCCUGUGCCAGCCAAACAAAAAGAUCUGAGGGUUAAAUACAAUUCACGGGCCAUCAGCUAAAGAGCAGGCUGGAGAUGGAAAAGAGAGCUGCCACUUCAUUUUAUAAAGGAUGCUGUCUUUUUAAAGUCCUAAGAACCCUAUCUAUGCCCAGCACGGUACCCCAAAAAUAACAUGGGAGGCAAACGGGAAGGAGAGAAAUACUUGUUUAAGAAAUCCAGAAGCAAACCCCCAGAACAAACAGAUAUUCGCCCCCAGGAGCCUCAUGCUGCUGGCUUGUUCAGUGCUACCACAGUGUGUUCAAAUCCAGAAUGCUGGGAAGCUUCCUGCCAGGCAGCAGCUUCUCCCUCCCGGCCCGGCUGGGUGCUGAGUCACAGCUACUUACAUGACUGACGCAAGUUCCAGCCAGAGCGGGGGAGGGGUGCCGGAAGCAGAGCCCAGAUCAUCCAUCUUCCUGCCACUGGGAAUGCUGGUUUCAGGGCUCCUGGCAGGGAGGAAGAGUCAUCUUGGUGAGAGAGGAGCCUGGGGAAGGCCCUUUUGAAAAAGGGGAACGUUCUGCCCUCCAGACAGUCCCACACCAUUGUGUGUAUGAACUGAGAGGCCCAACCCAGCUUCCUGUCACUCUGGCUCUGGCCCAGGCCCAGUGUCCUGGACAUUUUGUCUUGAGUUGUCAGGGUGGGGCCUGUUGCCAACUAGCUGUGGUUACCGAAUCAGAGGAAAGGGUGAUAAAAUGAAGGGUAUGUGUAUGGGGGGCUGGAGUGAAGGGGAACAUGGAGCUGGCUCGCUCUCUCUGGCAGUGUGGCCCCCAAAAGGCGGGAUCAGCAUCCAGGGACCACCACACUUCCCAGACCCUGGAUCCCAAAGUGGGAAUAACACACUCCAGACCCAGUGAGCCCCUCAAAUGCCCAUUGAGGUAAGAGAGCCAGAAGUCACAGCUUUCUCAGUGACGUGGGCCCAGCAUCAGCUCUUCUGGUUUCCCUUGGGGCAGGGGUACGGAGGCCUAUGUUCCCAGGGAGCCGCUUUCCACAAAGUUAGGUUCUCUGUCCCUUCCUCAACAUCACUGGCAAAAACCAGGGCCUAGCGAUCUCCCAGACCCAGUAGAGGGCACAGAAGCCCUUGGUGGGAGUGGCUGGCAGGCUGGCACACCAUGGCUACUCUGCCCUUGGGAUGUCAUGGGGUGUGGGGAGCAGCAAGAGACAGUGGGGAGUGAAGGGAAGGAGAAGGGACGCAGUAAAGACAGGAGCAUGGAUGUCUGCAUGUUCCCCCAGAGAAUGGCUUAGCCCCAGUGGAGGAGGACGGGCGCAGCCGUGAAGUGCUUUCAAGGAAGCCAGUGCUUUCCCCAAAAGGAAAAGCGAGCAUGCCUACGGUCUAUUACACAAACACAAUGCCUACCACACAGUUCACAGGUCCAAACCAACGUGGAGCCAAAGGAAAACCACCAAUGUUGCUCCCCUGUCACUCCCAAAUCAUUUACUCAACUCAGUAAAGAUGGAUCAGAAGUGAAACUUCAGUCUCAAGUGAAAUCUAACUCUGCAGGUUGGGGGAGACAUGCCCCAGAGCCCAGCUUCCCCAUCUCCCCAGGCAGAGCUGGGUUGCCCCCUCCUUCAGGCGCCAAGAAGUAACUAGCGGAUGCAGUAUCCCACCAGGCACCCCACUCACAGGACCUCGUGCCUGCUUGCUGGGAGAAGCACGUUCCUGUCCCCAGGAGCCCCGCCAGAGGUGGGUCCCGGCCUCUGCAGCACAGCCCUCACUCCUCCUGGAGGGAGAGGAGAGCAUCUCCACAAGUCAGACAUCCUCCCCAGAGCAUGGCCCCCAGCAGGCUACCAGUAAGCCUGGGGCAUACCCACAAACCUCCAAGUGGCGGUUCUACCCAGUACCUGGGCACACACCUGGCAGAGCACAUGGACUGGGGCACACCUCGUGACAUGGUUCCACUUCCCUAGUUGGGGGAGGGAGGCUGGGUAGACAGAGGGUAGGUCCAGAGUCCAAAGCCAACUUAGAGCACCUUUCUCUCCUGCUUCCCCAGCAGCUGGCCCGGCUAGUAGCUGUACCUACACUGCUAUUCCAGUCUUAUUCUGUUAUCAGGCCCUCUGUCUGCCAGUCUCAGGACGUGGAACAGUGAGUGGAGCCCUCAGCAAAGAGGAUGCCAUGGUUCUCCCUGAAGUCUAGCAGAAUCACCCUCCCAGAAUCACCUUCCCACACUCCAGGCAAACGGAAAGA
RNAcentral lists this long non-coding RNA (6228 nucleotides) under Equus caballus (horse). RNAcentral's name for it is "lncRNA (ENSECAG00000049308.1)". Lineage: Eukaryota; Metazoa; Chordata; Mammalia; Perissodactyla; Equidae. The record is from RNAcentral.